RNAcentral lists this unclassified non-coding RNA (203 nucleotides) under plant metagenome. RNAcentral describes it as "partial contains 5.8S ribosomal RNA, internal transcribed spacer 2, and large subunit ribosomal RNA". The record is from RNAcentral.
CAUCACCGUGUGUGAUUCGCCCGCCGAAAUGGGCCAGAAAAUGAAGGAGCGGCUCGGGCGGUAGCCGGGGAGGGAUUGUCGAUGGAACGAACAUUUGCGAUUAUCAAACCGGAUGCGGUGGCGGCCGGUCAUACGGGCGCGAUCCUGGCCAUGAUUCAGAAGGAGGGCUUCGCCAUCCGCGGGCUCAAGAUGAUCCGGAUCAC